CUGCCUACCAAGACUGUGAUCGGUAGCUGACCUGAGAGGAUGAUCAGCCACACCGGGACUGAGACACGGACCGGACUCCUACGGGAGGCAGCAGUGGGGAAUAUUGGACAAUGGGCGAAAGCCUGAUCCAGCGAUGUCGCGUGAGUGAUGAAGGCCUUCGGGUUGUAAAGCUCUUUUGUCGGGGAAGAUAAUGACGGUACCCGAAGAAUAAGUGCCGGCUAACUUCGUGCCAGCAGCCGCGGUAAUACGAAGGGCACAAGCGUUACUCGGAAUCACUGGGCGUAAAGAGUGCGUAGGCGGUGUUGUAAGUUAGAUGUGAAAGACUAAGGCUCAACCUUAGAACUGCAUUUAAAACUGCUACACUGGAGUUUGAUAGAGAGGAAUGGAAUUUCUAGUGAAGGGGUGAAAUCCGUAGAUAUUAGAAGGAACACCAAAGGCGAAGGCAAUUCCUUGGGUCAAUACUGACGCUGAUGCACGAAAGCGUGGGGAGCAAACAGGAUUAGAUACCCUGGUAGUCCACGCCGUAAAUGAUGAUACUAAUCGUCGGGGUUUUUACUUCGGUGGUACAGCUAACGCGUUAAGUAAUCCGCCUGGGUAGUACGGCCGCAAGGCUAAAACUUAAAGGAAUUGGCGGGGACCCGCACAAGCGGUGGAGCAUCUGGUUUAAUUCGAUACUAACCGAAGAGCCUUACCAUCCCUUGCAUGUAUAUAUCGGAAUUUCUUAAAGUGAGUUCCACCCUCGGGAGGUAUACACAGGUGAUGCAUGGUUGUCGUCAGCUCGUGUCGUGAGAUGUUGGGUUAAGUCCCUUAACGAGCGCAACCCUUGUCUUUAUUUGCUAACAGAUUAUGCUGAGAACUAUAGAGAGACUGCCUGUGAAAGCAGGAGGAAGGAGAGGAUGAUGUCAAAUCAUCAUGUCCCUUAUGGGAUGGGCUACACAGGUGCUACAAUGGAGUGUACAGAGUGUCGCAAUGUAGUAAUACGGAGCUAAUCACUAAAACACCCCUCAGUACGGAUUGAGGCUUGCAAUUCAGCCUCAUGAAGCUGGAAUCGCUAGUAAUCGCGGAUCAGAAUGCCGCGGUGAAUACGUUCCCGGGUCUUGCACACACUGCCCGUCAAGGCAUGGGAGUCGAGAGUACUUAAAAAUAAUAUCGCUAACUGCAAAGAAGCGAUUAUUUAGGGUAAUAUCGAUGACUGAGCUUAAGUCGUAACAAGGUAGCCGUAGGGGAAUCUGCGGCUG
This 1238-nucleotide ribosomal RNA is filed under the name metagenome. RNAcentral describes it as "bacterial SSU rRNA". It matches the Rfam family "Bacterial small subunit ribosomal RNA", at positions 261 to 1520 of the family's 1533-position model. The record is from RNAcentral.